This is a long non-coding RNA of Aquila chrysaetos chrysaetos, 837 nucleotides long. RefSeq lists it as uncharacterized. The transcript has 4 exons. NCBI's taxonomy places the organism in Eukaryota, Metazoa, Chordata, Aves, Accipitriformes, Accipitridae. The record is from RefSeq and is a predicted model, not a curated record.
CUGGCAGUCAGGGAGGGCAGCACAACCCUUGGGAGAAGGGCAGGGAGGUUUAAAGAAGUUAACUUCAUGACUUUUUUUAUUUAGAGCUUGUUCUCAGCAAAAAGCUAACUCCUACGUCUUUACAGUUUUAAACUGUGGUCCCAUCUGCUCUAACUUUGAGAGCUGAGCUUGGAAAAUACCAGGAGACCUCAGCAAGAUGCUGGAGCUGACACUGGUAGCUGCGUCACCAUCUCUUCUCUGCCACGAGAGCCUCCGAGUCCUGAGGGAGCGCUGCGCAUCUCGCGAGGCGCUCGGGCUGCUGCGUAAACCAGAGACUAUGAUAGUCCUCAUCCUCCCAACCGAACCCUUCAAAAAAUGGUAAUGAAGAUUUACUUUAACAGCUGUGACUCCCAGAGGCAUUGGUAGAGGAACAUUUGGUUUCAAAUGAGGACCACUGAAAGAAGCACAGGAAGAGGUUGACUCAUCCUCUUCAGUUAUCUUGUGCUCUCUGAUGGAAGUGCUUCAAGCAAAGAGUAACGUGGAAUGGCAACUGAGACAUCUGGACACGCUCAGAUAUACAAAGGUACAAAAUUCAAAUAGGACAUUAGAAGAGAAAAAUGCCUCUUAUUCACAGUAUAAUUGCACAUGUAAAUUCUCUAGUGAAAUCUGUAUGGUGCUUUAUCACAAUGUUAAAAAUAUGAUGGCAGAAGGAAAUAAAAUUAAUUUGAAGAAAUAUUCCAGUUCUUCUUCUUAUCUUUUCUAUAACUCUGGUCUUUCCUAUUAAGUAUGUAGAUUUUAAUAAUCUGAAUCUUCCAAUGAAACAACUUUAACACAGCCUGAAUUAUGUGCAUCUAUAUU